This 1530-nucleotide long non-coding RNA is filed under the name Sus scrofa (pig). RNAcentral's name for it is "lncRNA (ENSSSCG00015072662.1)". Lineage: Eukaryota; Metazoa; Chordata; Mammalia; Artiodactyla; Suidae. The record is from RNAcentral.
CUUGCCCUCGGCACCUGCCAGGAGGGCUCGGGGCCUUUGUCCCUUUACUCUGUCCCAACAGGAACACCCGCACAUGCGCUCGCUGGCCCACGGGCCUGUGCGGAUGCGGGUUUUUCAGAGCUGGUUGCUACGUAAGGAACUUCAAAGGCUUUUAUGUGCCAGGAAGAUUGGGGAAUGGGGUCCCCCCCGAAGAAGUUGCUCAGGAUGCCGUCUAAGUGGUGUGGGUGUUCACGGCGACCCCGCAGGCCCGGCCGGCCUGGGUCCCAGAACUCGCCUUCUCGGGCUGCUCUGUAGGGUCCCGUGGCCUUGCCCUGAGCUCUGACCCACGCAGGUGCACCUGGGACCUCCGGUGACUUUCUGUCCCAGGGCCUGCUGUCCCGGUGGUCUACCCAGCCUGUGCCCACACGGCUACCUGGGUUGGGGUCCAGGCACCCCCUCCUGUGAGCUGACAGGCCAGGGGGAAAGGAAAGCGCCUCACCUGCUGGAUGACAGCUGGUUAGUUUUUACAAAGAAGGGUUGUCCUGAGAAGCUGCUGAGGGAACCACCCAGAUUUCUCUGUCCGGGCGUUGGGCUGGGAAGGCGGAAGUGUGCCUGCUGCCGGGUGGGUAUGGCAGGGGGUGGGCGCCCGGGCACUCUGGCCCUGGCCCCCAGGGACCAUGUUGGCCUCAGGUCAGAGGUCCAGGACCGGGGGCUCCCUUGCCACUGAUGACCUCAGGUAGGCCUGGCUCCCCCCUGCCAGCCCCCCAUGCCACUCCCUCCCUGUCCCCCGAGGCCUGCCCAGGUCACAGCUGGCUGCUCUCCAGGCCAGCGGUCAGGUGGCGGGAGCCAGAGACAGGUGUGUGCUGGUUGGCGUCCUGACCUCCAGCUGCCUGGCCCUUGCCAGGCGGCCUGCCCUCCCCCCAGGCCUGAGCACUGUUGAUGGGGGCCAAAAAAAUGCAAAUGGGAAGGAUCCUGUGACUGCCCCCCCCGCACCUUGAGGGCUCAGGGGUCCCGCCGGCAGGGGCUGUGCUGCGUGUCUUCAGCGUGUGUGUCUGGGGCGGGGGCCGAGCACGGAAAAACACCCUGAAAGCAGAAAAGGCUUGAACCUGACAGGUUUUCCCCGCGGCCAGGCGUCUAGAGCAGCGGGAAGUGGAGUUUCCAGGGGCCGCCUGUCCUCGGGGCAGCUUCGUGGGGGUGUUCCGGGCGCCGUGGGCCCUGUCCGGCCUCUCCCACCAUCGGCGGGGGGACUCUGGCUUGGGAUUUCUUUUUUCUUUUUUAAUCGAGGUAAGGAGUUCCUGGUGGCGUAGCGCUUAGGAUUCAGCAGCCUCCUGUUGUGGCUCAGUGGGUUAGGAACCCAACAUAGCGUCUGUGAGGAUGCAGGUUCGAUCCCUGGCCUCGCUCAGUGGGUGAAGGACCCGGCGUUGCCAUGAGCUGUGGUGUAGGUUGCAGACGCGGCUCGGAUCCCGAGUUGCUGUGGCUCUGGCUGUGGCUGUGGCUGUGGCCAGCAGCUACAGCUCGGAUUCGACCUCUAGCCUGGGAACUUCCAUACAU